UCGCUUUGGCAGCACAUAUACUAAAAUUGGAAGGAUACAGAGAUUAGAUUAGAUUAGCAUGGUGCCUGCACAAAGCUAACACGCAAAUUUGUGAAGUGUUCCACAUUAGC
Ochotona princeps (American pika) is the source of this 110-nucleotide small nuclear RNA. NCBI's taxonomy places the organism in Eukaryota, Metazoa, Chordata, Mammalia, Lagomorpha, Ochotonidae. The record is from RefSeq and is a predicted model, not a curated record.